Salmo salar (Atlantic salmon) is the source of this 54-nucleotide non-coding RNA. Lineage: Eukaryota; Metazoa; Chordata; Actinopteri; Salmoniformes; Salmonidae. The record is from Rfam.
UGCACUCACUACUGUAAGUCGCUCUGGAUAAGAGCGUCUGCUAAAUGUCCUAAU